RNAcentral lists this ribosomal RNA (468 nucleotides) under uncultured bacterium. RNAcentral's name for it is "partial 16S ribosomal RNA". It matches the Rfam family "Bacterial small subunit ribosomal RNA", at positions 28 to 507 of the family's 1533-position model. The record is from RNAcentral.
GACGAACGCUGGCGGCGUGCUUAACACAUGCAAGUCGAACGGAAAGGCCCUGCUUUUGUGGGGUGCUCGAGUGGCGAACGGGUGAGUAACACGUGAGUAACCUGCCCUUGACUUUGGGAUAACUUCAGGAAACUGGGGCUAAUACCGGAUAGGAGCUCCUGCUGCAUGGUGGGGGUUGGAAAGUUUCGGCGGUUGGGGAUGGACUCGCGGCUUAUCAGCUUGUUGGUGGGGUAGUGGCUUACCAAGGCUUUGACGGGUAGCCGGCCUGAGAGGGUGACCGGCCACAUUGGGACUGAGAUACGGCCCAGACUCCUACGGGAGGCAGCAGUGGGGAAGAUUGCACAAUGGGCGGAAGCCUGAUGCAGCAACGCCGCGUGCGGGAUGACGGCCUUCGUGUUGUAAACCGCUUUCGCCUGUGACGAAGCGUGAGUGACGGUAAUGGGUAAAGAAGCACCGGCUAACUACGUG